CCAAACCCAGAACCUUCUUCUUCCCCGCCUAACCCUUAUUUCAUCCCGCCAAUUCGCCACCCUAAAUUUUCGCCACUCCAAAAUUCAAAGCAUCUACAAAAUUAUCCAAAACAACUACAAAUUAAGCUUACUCAAAUUAUCUAUUAUUUCACCUCAAAAAAAUUAUACAUUCUAAAUGAAUUACUUCUUAGCCAAAUUGCUUGAAUCGUUUGUUGCGAUAUAAUUUUGGGAGUUAGUGUUUGUCUAAAAUUAAGGAAAUUCUUGUGGGUAUGGAUUUUGACAUUAGCUAGCUGUGAUGAUUUAUUCUGGGUACUACUCUAAUAGCAAGUAACAAGAGAGACACAUAAUUAGUAGCUAGCUGAUAGAAAAUCAAAGUAACCAAAGGAGAAAACUUUUUGAGUUAUAGCAGGCUACCUGGAUGUUUUCUUGUUGGUAAUACUCUUAUCUUAUCUAAAAGUUUUUUUUUUGUUUUUAGUAUUCAUAUGGUUCAAGUAAAAGUUGUGAUUGUUUUCUAUAUUUUAAAUUAAGGCAUGUUAGUAUAAUUAGGAUUGUUUGUCAUUCAAAUGGAUACUUAUGCUAUGUUUGUAUGAUUGUACAUCGUAUUAGUUUUUAUUUUAUUUUUUGCUGGAAAUUAUAUGUAUGCUAACAUUCAACAUUUUAGAAUUUUUUUUUUAUCUUAUUUUUAUUAAUGUGAAUUUAGGGAAUGGCUAUUGAUAAGGAAUUGAUGAAAAUAAAUGAUCGUUCACUUGUCGAGUACAUAGAGGGUGUUGAUAAUUUCUUCAACUUUGCCUUUUCUUAUAACAUGGAGGAUGAGAAUACCGCCACUAUUAGGUGUCCUUGUGACAAUUGUCGUAAUUUAGUGUUUUAAAAAAGGUGUGAUGUGAGGUUUGAUUUACUAAAGUCAGGAAUGUAUGAGUAUUACACAAUAUGGGACCUUCAUGGUGAAAAGGUAAGUCAUUCUCCUAGUGGUUACAUUAGUGGUAUGGAAGAUGGAGAUGGAAAUGGAAUGGAAAGUGAUGAUAGUGGAGUUCAUAUGUUAGAAGAUGCAUUUGGGGUACCUGGUAUGUAGGGGGAUCAUAUGAAUGACUAUGAUUUUAAUGAAGAACCAACUGGAGAUGCAGCAAUGUUUUACCAUCUUUUGAAAGAAUUUGAAGAGCCACCGACAUCUAAUGGCACAACAAUGUUAAAGUUGUCUUAUAUAGUAAAGCUGCUGCAUUUGAAGGUUUUAAAUAACUAGAGUGAUAGCUCUUUUGAUAGUUUGCUGAAAUUGCAAGGGGAAGCAUUGGGAGCUGCCUUCCUGAUUCAUAUUAUGAGGCAAAGGAAUUGAUUUCCAAUUUGGGUCUUGAGUGUGUGAAGAUUGAUGCUUGUAAAAAUGAUUGUAUUCUUUAUUGGAAACAAAAUGCACAUUUAGAUAAGUGUCCUACUUGUUGCUUACCCAGAUACAAGAAUGUUCCUGAAGGUGCUUGUAAUGGAACGAAAGUGCCACACAAGGUGCUACCACACUUUCCAUUGAAAUCCAGAUUACAAAGGUUAUAUAUGUCAAGAAAGACCGCUAAAGAUAUGCGAUGGCAUAAAGAAGAAAGGGUGGAUGAUGAGGUAAUGAGGCAUCCAGCUGAUUCUGCUGCAUGGAAAUCAUUUGAUGAGGAGUAUACUUCAUUCUCCAGAGAUGCACGCAAUGUUAGACUUGGAUUAACUUGUGAUGGUUUCCUGCCUUUUGAUAAUUCUCAACAUAGCAUUUGGCUCGUUGUUCUUAUUCCUUACAACUUACCUCCUUGGAUAUGUAAGAAGCCUCAUUCUUUCAUCUUAUCUCUACUCAUGCCAGGACCCACGAGUCCUGGAAGAAAUAUUGAUGGUUAUCUUCAACCUUUAAUUGAAGAGCUGAAGGACCUUUGGGAGUUUGGAGUUGAAACUUAUGACGCUUAUUCUAAGCAACAUUUAAAUAUGCAUGCCAUUGUUUUAUGGACUAUUAGUGACUUUCCUGCGUAUGCUGAUUUGUCGGGUUGGUCUACUAAAGGUCACUAUGCUUGCUCAUCCUGCCUUAAGGAAACCAAGCGCACUUCCUUGAUGAGUAAAGGUUGUUAUAUGUGUCAUUGUCGUUGGCUGCAUAUUAAUCAUAAAUGGAGAAAGGAUGCUAAAUCAUUAUUUGAUAACAAAAAAGAAAAAGGGCAUGCACCUGUUCCGUUAACUGGUGAUGAAAUUUUAAGUUGUUUUAAUCGAUUUGAGCAAGCAACAUUUGGUAAGGUUGCUGGACAAAAAAGAAAAUGGGAUGCUUUAAAUAUCUUGUAUGGUUGGCACAAAAAAAGCAUUUUUUUCCAACUACCGUACUCGAGAAAAUUGCAAAUUCGACACAACUUAGAUGUCAUGCAUAUCGAAAAAAAAUGUGUCUGAUAAUAUUUUAGGCACUUUGAUGAAUAUCAGAGGUAAGACAAAAGACACGGUAAAGGCUUGAAUUGAUUUGAUGAAAAUGGGUAUUCGAGAUGAGCUCCACCCUAGUUUGGAUGGAGAUAAAGUACGAGUUCCUGUAGCAUCCUACACACUAAAUACAACUGCCAAAGCUGCAAUCUGUGAGAUGUUUGCUGGAAUUAUGUCACCUGAUGGUUUCUUAUCAAAUAUCUCACGUUGUGUCAGGGACAAUGGAAAGAAAAUAUCUGGCAUGAAGAGUCAUGACCAUGUUUUUAUUGAGCAACUUCUUCCUCUUGCAACUCGUGGAUUCCUGCCAAAGGAAGUUUAUGAGCCUUUAGUUGAGCUUAGCUCUUUUUUUUUUGAAACCUUUGCUCAAAAAACAUAACAAUAAAGGAAUUGGACACCCUCGAAGCACAAAUUCCUUACACAUUGUUUAAGCUCCAGAUGAUUUUCCCUCCUGCUUUUUACGAUGUGAUGGUGCAUUUGGUGGUUCACUUAGCUGCUGAAGCAAAGAUCGAAGGGCCUGUCCGGUAUCGAUGGAUAUACCCAGUUGAGAGAUAUCUUGGAAAUUUAAAGAAGUACAUUCAAAACAGAGCACAACCAGAGGGUUGCAUUGCAGAAGGCUAUCUUCAGAUGAGUGUCUAACAUUUUGCUCAAGAUAUAUGAGUGAUAUUGACACUAAAUUCAAUAGGAAAGGUAGGAAUGAUGAUGACACUUUAAAUGAUGUUACUUUGAGAAACAAGUUAGAUAUUUUUAGACCCCUUGGUCAUGCACUCGGAGAAGGGGCACCACGACAUCUUAGCUUUGAAGAAUGUGAUCAAAUCCAUUUGUACAAUCUUCUAAACUGCGAUGAGCUUAUUGAUUUUGUUAACGAACACAAAUUAAUGUUGGAGAGAGAAAAUCCAAGAAAUGUGGAACGACGACACAAGAUGCUAUUUGCAACUUGGAUUCAUGAUCGUGUGCGUAAACUCUAUGAAGAAGGGAAUAUUGAUGAAGACAUGUAUAAUUUAGUUUGUUUUCCUUCUAGAGUUGUGAGGCGCUAUGCAGCUUAUAUAGUUAAUGGUUUUUGGUUUCAUACACAUGAUAGGUGUGAGAAUAGGAAAACUCAGAAUAGUGGAGUCAUGGUACGGGGAGAUGAUAUUUCAGACAAAGAAUAUUAUGGUGUGUUAAAAGACAUCUUUGAGGUUUCGUAUCCAGGUGGGAAUCGUACGUUUGUUUUUUAAUGUGCAUGGUUUGAUGUACAACACCUUGGUAAAGGAUACAAAGUGGAUGAUAAUGGACUGAUAAGUGUAAAUUAAAGGGGUUCUUUGAAAACAAAUGAAGUGUACGUUUUAGAAUCACAAGUUGAACAAGUAUUCUACGUACAAGAUCCGAAAAAUGAGGAUUGGCAGUUUGUUAUUAAAACCCAGCCUAGAGAUCUUUAUGAUAUGCCAAACAAUGAUAAGAAUGACCAAGGUGGUGUAGAUGUGGACGCAUAUCAGUAGGUUGAUGUAAAUCAAGUUGAAUGCCAAAGCUUCAGGACUGAGAAUGAUAGCUUUCUAAUAAAUUCAUUAGCAACAAAUACUUUUGUAGUUGAGAUAGAACCUAGUGUUGUAAAGUUAGUUAGAAAAGUGAUUGAGGAAAUUGGUGAAGAUGAUGACUUUAUCAAUGAUGGUGACAUUGAAGUUUUAGAAGAUACAAGUGAAAGGAAGAGUUUAGUUCGGAGUCAUCACAAGAGUAAAAUUGAAUAUGUUAUUUCUCUCUCUCUCUCUCUCUCUCUCUCUCUCUCUCUCUCUCUCUCUCUUUUCAGUGUAUGGAAUUUUCUUUUUUGUCGUAUAUAUGUUAAUAUUAUACUUACGUAAUGUGUUUACCGCUAUAAGUUUAUAGAUUUCAAUAUUACUUGAUGGAUGGAGUUUUGUAUAGAAUAUCUUCUAAACUAAUGUUAUUACGUGUUUAUGCAAAAACAAGAAAUUAUAAAGAAUGGUUGGGAGAGGUGGAGGAAUGAAUGUGUGCAAUCGAAAACAGGAUGGAAAAGGAAGUAAUCUUUACUCAAAUGUGGUUGGAGAACAUGUGGGAUCCUCAAAUCUGGUACAAAAUGGUGGCAAUUAUAAUGUACCAAGAAGGUCUAUAAGCUCUUCAAAUCAGGUUCAAAGUAUGGGGAAUUGUGAUUUACCUAACCAUAAUGUCUUGGGAUCCUUAAAUCAUUUAGAGCAUUGUCAAAUACAUGAUGAUAACAUGAUUUCCAAUGAAAAUCAAUUUCAAAAUGAGUCAGAGAGGUGUAUUUCACCACAUGUUGGAGGUAUAAUUCAAAAAUUGUUGUUGUGCUAUUAUCUUUUCAUGUCUUAUCAACAACUUUAUUUUCAAAUAUAGCUGGUACGUCAAGCAAAAGGAAAAGAACGACCAAUUUAGCAGGAAGGAUGAACAUGAAUUUGGAAGCAACGAAUGCUUUGGAUCCACCUAUUAGAAGGGACGAAGAAAAUAGAGGAGUCGGUGAAAAUGCUAAUCGCCGGCAAGUAGGAAAUAAUGGUUUGAUACACUCGGUUAUUAAUAGAGAAACUACACGAGAUGGUAAAAGUAAGAAAAAUAUAUUAUUGUUGUGAGAAAGUUUUCAUUUGUUUAGAUUUCUUACUAGCUACAAAUAAUGUUUGUGUCGCAAAGAUUUUAAGUAAAAAUCAAUUGGUAUAAACGAAAAGUAAACUUAAAAAUGCAGUAAUCUGACAUCUGACAAAAUAUUUUGAAUGGAAAAUGUGAUCUGGAUUGCAAAACAUGUUAAUAGCGACGAGCAAGGUGAAGCAAAGAGGCUGAAAGGGAAAGUACAAAAGUUAUGUAGUGGAUAUGAAAAUCAAAGGGAAAAAAUCCAGAUGAUAUUGACUAGGCUAUUGGUGAAAAUGGUCGUCUUUUUGUGAAUGAGUGUGGUUGUGUUGUGAGGACAAGGGCUCCAUUGAAUGUAAAGAGUUGGAAAGAAGCUUUUGGACUAGCUGGUGAUAUGAUGUGGAAGAAAAUUGAGGUAAUUUUGUUCUUUAUUAAACCGUAUUAUGUAUGAACAAAGACCUUGUCUUAUUAUUUCAUUUCUUAUAAUUAGUUUAUAUUUUUUUAGGAAAAGUUUCAAGUUAAAGAAGGUAGUUCCUAUAUUAAGAUGCAAGCUUUUGCCAUUGAAACUAUGCAACGUCUUUAUAGGUUAUGGAAAUCUCGAUUGCACUACUAUUAUAAGAAUGGAGGUUGUGGACAAAAUGAUGAGGAGCGCUUAAAAAUCAUCCACUAGAUUUACCUCAAAAUUAGAGGAAACAUUGUGUGGAACGAUUUAGCUCUCAACUUUUUAAGUAAAAACUAUACUGUGUCAUAUAAAAAAAAUUUAUAUUAUUUUUUCGCUUCAUCUUAAUUGUAAUGAACAUGUAGGAAAUGAGUGAAAGAAAUUCAAGAAAUAUCUAACCUUACCACUAAUAAUAUAAGAAUUUAUUUACUAAAUCCCAAAUCUUAGUUAAACUGAAGUAUUUUUAUUUUAGACUUGUGAAAACAAUGGUGUAAAACUAUCAGCUGAUGUGAUUUGGCUUUUUGAGCACACAAAAAAAAAGGAAGGCCAACUUCAGUGGGCUGAUGAUUCUCGCUCCAAGGAAAUUUAUCAAUUGAUGCACAUUUUAGGAUCAAUUAAAAGUUGCAGUUGCUACUCAUGAAGACUCGAUGACACAAGAGGUGAUUCUUUUGGAUGUUUUGAAACCCAGAUGUGGUUACUUUUGUGGGAAAGGUACAGCCUUACGUGGUUAUAGUAAGGGAACUAGAAAAAAACUUGAGCUGCAAAAGAAGAUUCAAGAGCAAGAUGAAAGGAUAAAAAAGUUAGAAGAGACUCAAGAACAAACAAAAAAACAGCUACAAGGGACAGUUGAAGCAACAUCAAGGCAACUAGAACAACAAAAGCUUGAUAUGCAACCUGCAAUGGAUGCAAUGAAGGAAGAAUUAUAGCGAGAAUUUUUAAACAAAGGUUAUUGAUGUAGAUGAGUAUAUAGUAGGAGAAUGCUUUUGGAGAAAGUGAUGGUAAAUGGUAGAAUGUGUUAGCUUGGAUAUAUUCAUAUGAUAAUGUAAUAUUUUGUGAUGAAGGUGGAUGCACCUUUUUGGGAUGAUGAUUGAUAUAACUAUUUAGGAUAAUGCUUAGUUUUAUUUUGGAUAUGAAAAAUCUGAAGAAUGGAUGCAAUAUUUUAAGAAAAUCUUAACGAUGAAUGUAAUAUUUUGGAUAUGACUAUUGGAAAUAUAUAUGCUAACAUUU
Molecule: long non-coding RNA, 6640 nt
Organism: Chenopodium quinoa (quinoa)
Lineage: Eukaryota; Viridiplantae; Streptophyta; Magnoliopsida; Caryophyllales; Amaranthaceae
Exons: 8
Source: RefSeq, a predicted model, not a curated record